UGCUUUCUCCCUGUGGGUGUCAGGGUGUGAGGCUCUGCUCGCCUCACAGCAAUGACUCAGUUACCCUGGCGAAGGCUUCCAGGAUCUCCCGAGGCUCAAAGAUAAAGAAACUGAGGCACACAGAGGUUAAGUACCUUGCUGAAGGUCACACAUGCAGAGUGGUUUGACUAUGGAACCUAGGCUUUUGAUCAUGACAUUGUACUCCUUUGUGCAGAGUAUCUUGGGCAUAAGAGGCCCCCCAAAAGGAGAGAUAGUGCCCUCAAGAAGAUUAUCAAGAUUAAAUGAAGUAAAAAGGAUGGACCCCUAAUUCAAUAGGAAUGAUGUGAUUAUACGAAGAGAAAGAAACAUCAGGACACAGAGGCAAGACGGUGUGAGGACACAAUGGGAAGGUGACAUCUGCAACUAAGGAGAAGAUUCUGAAUAAACCAAAUCUGCUGACCUCUUAACCUUGGACAUCCAGUCUCUAGAAAAGUGAAUAAAUAAAUUUCUGUUGUUUAAACUA
Cebus imitator (Panamanian white-faced capuchin) is the source of this 502-nucleotide long non-coding RNA. RefSeq lists it as uncharacterized. The record is from RefSeq and is a predicted model, not a curated record. The transcript is spliced from 3 exons. Lineage: Eukaryota; Metazoa; Chordata; Mammalia; Primates; Cebidae.